AUUGAACGCUGGCGGCAGGCCUAGCACAUGCAAGUCGAGCGGAUGAAGGGAGCUUGCUCCUGGAUUCAGCGGCGGACGGGUGAGUAAUGCCUAGGAAUCUGCCUGGUAGUGGGGGAUAACGUCCGGAAACGGGCGCUAAUACCGCAUACGUCCUGAGGGAGAAAGUGGGGGAUCUUCGGACCUCACGCUAUCAGAUGAGCCUAGGUCGGAUUAGCUAGUUGGUGGGGUAAAGGCCUACCAAGGCGACGAUCCGUAACUGGUCUGAGAGGAGGAUCAGUCACACUGGAACUGAGACACGGUCCAGACUCCUACGGGAGGCAGCAGUGGGGAAUAUUGGACAAUGGGCGAAAGCCUGAUCCAGCCAUGCCGCGUGUGUGAAGAAGGUCUUCGGAUUGUAAAGCACUUUAAGUUGGGAGGAAGGGCAGUAAGUUAAUACCUUGCUGUUUUGACGUUACCAACAGAAUAAGCACCGGCUAACUUCGUG
Molecule: ribosomal RNA, 484 nt
Filed under: uncultured bacterium
Lineage: Bacteria
Description: partial 16S ribosomal RNA
Rfam family: Bacterial small subunit ribosomal RNA
Source: RNAcentral